GUCACUGCAGCUACUGCUCUCUGCUUUGCAGAAUGUAAAUUCGUCUGUCAGGUUCCUUGAGAGGCUCUGGAGCUGCAGAACGGAGGUGGAGUGCGACUGGAGCGCAGCCCUUGCUCUCCCUGCUCCCUUCUGCUGGGGUAAGGCAUGGCCAAAGGGAGAGCAGGAAUUGUUUUGAAUCCAAGGAAUAUCACAGCUCUGAUUUCUGGUACAACAGCACGGAUUGCACAGGGGGUUAGUCCGUGUUUGCUGCAGGGUGAAUGAGGACUGAUUACUGGUCACAGAGGAUUAGGAAGAAAUUCCAAGCUGGAGAGGGCAAGGAGUAAAUGUUGAUCUCCCUCUGGUGUGUGCUCAAAGGAGAAGGAAAAAGGUGUUUGUGAGAAAAGCUGCAUGCAGGCACGGGUUUUUUGCUACAUCAUUAUUUUGAUACCCGGUGGUUUGUACGGCUGGAUGUCGGUCAUUUGCCAAAGGCCUUGGAGCAACAGUCCUUAGGAAUGAACAAAGCCUGUGCCUAAAACACUUUGGUCACGAGGGGAGCACAAGGGGAAAGGGCUGCCAG
RNA transcript from Pseudopodoces humilis (Tibetan ground-tit), 556 nucleotides. RefSeq lists it as uncharacterized. NCBI's taxonomy places the organism in Eukaryota, Metazoa, Chordata, Aves, Passeriformes, Paridae. The record is from RefSeq and is a predicted model, not a curated record.